RNAcentral lists this ribosomal RNA (406 nucleotides) under Verrucomicrobiota bacterium. RNAcentral's name for it is "Verrucomicrobia bacterium partial 16S ribosomal RNA". It matches the Rfam family "Bacterial small subunit ribosomal RNA", at positions 355 to 776 of the family's 1533-position model. The record is from RNAcentral. Lineage: Bacteria; Pseudomonadati; Verrucomicrobiota.
UGGGGUAUAUUGGACAAUGGAGGAAACUCUGAUCCAGCAACUCUGUGUGUGUGAAGAAGGUUUUAGGACUGUAACACACUUUUAGUAGGGAAGAAAAAAAUGACGGUACCUACAGAAGAAGCAACGGCUAAAUACGUGACAGCAGCCGCGGUAAUACGUAGGUCCCGAGCGUUGUCCGGAUUUAUUGGGCGUAAAGUGAGCGCAGGCGGUUAGAAAAGUCUGAAGUGAAAGGCAGUGGCUCAACCAUUGUAGGCUUUUGAAACUGUUUAACUUGAGUGCGGAGGGGGAGAGUGGAAUUCCAUGUGUAGCGGUGAGAUACGUAGAUAUAUGGAGGAACACCGGUGGCGGAGGCGGCUCUCUAGUCUGUAACUGACGCUGAGGCUCGAAAGCGUGGGGAGCGAACAGA